This 93-nucleotide transfer RNA is filed under the name Asanoa ferruginea. RNAcentral's name for it is "tRNA-Gln". Lineage: Bacteria; Bacillati; Actinomycetota; Actinomycetes; Micromonosporales; Micromonosporaceae. The record is from RNAcentral.
GGUGGCCUUGGUCGCCUUGGCCGGCGCGGCCUUGGCCCGGGUGGUCUUGGCCGCGGCGGCGGCCUUGGCCGGUGCGGUGCCGUUGGCCGCUUC